Eptesicus fuscus (big brown bat) is the source of this 145-nucleotide non-coding RNA. RefSeq annotates it as small Cajal body-specific RNA 16. The record is from RefSeq and is a predicted model, not a curated record. The transcript has a single exon. NCBI's taxonomy places the organism in Eukaryota, Metazoa, Chordata, Mammalia, Chiroptera, Vespertilionidae.
GAAGUCAGGGAUUUGCUUUAAAAUAAUACCUCACUGACCUAAAGUAAAUUCCCAGGAGGAGUUCUUCCUGGGCUUUGAAUUUGCAGUGAUAGGUAUGAACAUUCUAGAGGCAGCUGGAUGAUCAUGUAUGAUGCUGCAGACAAGA